GAUGAACGCUGGCGGCGUGCCUAAUACAUGCAAGUCGAGCGAACAAACGAGGAGCUUGCUCCUCUGACGUUAGCGGCGGACGGGUGAGUAACACGUGGAUAACCUACCUAUAAGACUGGGAUAACUUCGGGAAACCGGAGCUAAUACCGGAUAAUAUAUUGAACCGCAUGGUUCAAUAGUGAAAGACGGUUUUGCUGUCACUUAUAGAUGGAUCCGCGCCGCAUUAGCUAGUUGGUAAGGUAACGGCUUACCAAGGCAACGAUGCGUAGCCGACCUGAGAGGGUGAUCGGCCACACUGGAACGGAGACACGGUCCAGACUCCUACGGGAGGCAGCAGUAGGGAAUCUGCCGCAAUGGGCGAAAGCCUGACGGAGCAACGCCGCGUGAGUGAUGAAGGUCUUCGGAUCGUAAAACUCUGUUAUUAGGGAAGGACAAAUGUGUAAGUAACUAUGCACGUCUUGACGGUACCUAAUCAGAAAGCCACGGCUAACUACGUG
Molecule: ribosomal RNA, 497 nt
Filed under: uncultured bacterium
Lineage: Bacteria
Description: partial 16S ribosomal RNA
Rfam family: Bacterial small subunit ribosomal RNA
Source: RNAcentral